Microplitis demolitor is the source of this 548-nucleotide long non-coding RNA. RefSeq lists it as uncharacterized. NCBI's taxonomy places the organism in Eukaryota, Metazoa, Arthropoda, Insecta, Hymenoptera, Braconidae. The record is from RefSeq and is a predicted model, not a curated record. The transcript has 4 exons.
UUAAAAAAAAAUAAUAAACAGUGAAAUUACUGUUGUUUUUUGUAAUUAUUUAUUUCAUUUGUGCCUAUUAUUCAAAUUAUAAUAAUUGCUAUUAUUAAUCUUUUCAAAUUUAUCUUUUUUAAAAAAAUAUUCAACGUCGGCUAAUUUCAAAAUUAAAAUAAAACUGACAGAGAUGCUGCUUACUUUUGAAUGAACCAUAACCCUAAGCUUUAGGUGAUUGAUCUUCGAAAAUUUAUUGAGCUGCAAUUAAAUGUCAAAAAAAGAAGAUAAGAGAAAAACAAUUCAAUUAAUCAGUGAGUUUAUAAAUCAUCAACUUUAAGAUCUUACAUAUUAAAUACAGAAUUAAAGACUGACUUAAUCAGCCACCAGCUAUAAUUAGACGACCAAGCUGCGAUUAGAUAACGAGUUCUGGUUUAGAUACAAAAAUACAAUAGUUUAAUUAAUAAGACAAUUAAAUAAACUAAAUUAAAAGGAAAUUGAUGCUAAGAAUCCAAGCAACGAAAUUAACUUUUAAAUUUUCUAUUAUAUAGUUCUAGUAUAAAAAAAAA